CGGCAGAGGCAGGCGGAAUUCGUGGUGUAGCGGUGAAAUGCUUAGAUAUCACGAAGAACUCCGAUUGCGAAGGCAGCUUGCUGGACCGUAACUGACGUUGAUGCUCGAAAGUGCGGGUAUCAAACAGGAUUAGAUACCCUGGUAGUCCGCACAGUAAACGAUGAAUACUCGCUGUUGGCGAUAUACUGCCAGCGGCCAAGCGAAAGCGUUAAGUAUUCCACCUGGGGAGUACGCCGGCAACGGUGAAACUCAAAGGAAUUGACGGGGGCCCGCACAAGCGGAGGAACAUGUGGUUUAAUUCGAUGAUACGCGAGGAACCUUACCCGGGCUUGAACUGCAGCGGAAUGAUUUGGAAACAGAUCAGCGAGCAAUCGCCGCUGUGGAGGUGCUGCAUGGUUGUCGUCAGCUCGUGCCGUGAGGUGUCGGCUUAAGUGCCAUAACGAGCGCAACCCUUACCGAUAGUUGCCAUCAGGUGACGCUGGGGACUCUAUCGGGACUGCCGUCGUAAGAUGUGAGGAAGGUGGGGAUGACGUCAAAUCAGCACGGCCCUUACGUCCGGGGCUACACACGUGUUACAAUGGGGGGUACAGCAGGCCGCUACCGGGCGACCGGAUGCCAAUCCCUAAAACCCCUCUCAGUUCGGACUGGAGUCUGCAACUCGACUCCACGAAGCUGGAUUCGCUAGUAAUCGCGCAUCAGCCACGGCGCGGUGAAUACGUUCCCGGGCCUUGUACACACCGCCCGUCAAGCCAUGAAAGCCGGNNNNNNNUGAAGUGCGUAACCGCAAGGAGCGCCCUAGGGUAAAACUGGUGAUUGGGAAUGAGUCGUAACAAGGUAACCA
RNAcentral lists this ribosomal RNA (841 nucleotides) under uncultured bacterium. RNAcentral describes it as "bacterial SSU rRNA". It matches the Rfam family "Bacterial small subunit ribosomal RNA", at positions 649 to 1502 of the family's 1533-position model. The record is from RNAcentral.